CCUACGGGAGGCAGCAGUCGAGAAUCAUUCACAAUGGGGGAAACCCUGAUGGUGCGACGCCGCGUGGGGGAAUGAAGGUCUUCGGAUUUUAAACCCCUGUCAUGUGGGAGCAAAUGAAAAAGAUAGUACCACAAGAGGAAGAGACGGCUAACACUGUGCCAGCCGCCGCGGUAAUACAGAGGUCUCAAGCGUUGAUCGGAAUCACUGGGCGUAAAGCGCGUGUAGGCUGUUUCGUAAGUCGUGUGUGAAAGGCGCGGGCUCAAGCCGCGGACGGCAUGUGAUACUGGGAGACUAGAGUAAUGGAGAGGGAAGCAGAAUUCUCGGUGUAGCGGUGAAAUGCGUAGAUAUCGGGAGGAACACUCGUGGCGAAGGCGGGUUCCUGGACAUAAACUGACGCUGAGGCGCGAAGGCCAGGGGAGCAAAAGGGAUUAGAUACCCUUGUAGUC
RNAcentral lists this ribosomal RNA (446 nucleotides) under uncultured bacterium. Its description in RNAcentral is "partial 16S ribosomal RNA". It matches the Rfam family "Bacterial small subunit ribosomal RNA", at positions 338 to 795 of the family's 1533-position model. The record is from RNAcentral.